RNAcentral lists this ribosomal RNA (406 nucleotides) under uncultured bacterium. Its description in RNAcentral is "partial 16S ribosomal RNA". It matches the Rfam family "Bacterial small subunit ribosomal RNA", at positions 29 to 526 of the family's 1533-position model. The record is from RNAcentral.
AUUGAACGCUGGCGGCAGGCUUAACACAUGCAAGUCGAGCGAGCGGCGGACGGGUGAGUAAUGUCUGGGAAACUGCCUGAUGGAGGGGGAUAACUACUGGAAACGGUAGCUAAUACCGCAUACCAUCAGAUGUGCCCAGAUGGGAUUAGCUAGUAGGUGGGGUAAUGGCUCACCUAGGCGACGAUCCCUAGCUGGUCUGAGAGGAUGACCAGCCACCCGGGAACUGAGACACGGUCCAGACUCCUGCGGGAGGCAGCAGUGGGGAAUAGUGCACAAUGGGCGCAAGCCUGAUGAAGCCAUGCAGAGUGUGUGAAGAAGGCCUUCGGUGUGUAAAGAACGUUCAGCGGGGAGGCGGUACUCGAAGAAGAAGCACCGGCUAACUCCGUGCCAGCAGCCGCGGUAAGAC